This is a long non-coding RNA of Nymphaea colorata (pocket water lily), 1562 nucleotides long. RefSeq lists it as uncharacterized. The transcript is spliced from 3 exons. Lineage: Eukaryota; Viridiplantae; Streptophyta; Magnoliopsida; Nymphaeales; Nymphaeaceae. The record is from RefSeq and is a predicted model, not a curated record.
CCGCAAAUGGUAGAUAAGUUUUUUAUGAUGAAGCGACUCCUAAGGAUGCAAAAUGCAGCUGAGUUAGAAUAGGGUUAGAUCCAAGUAAUUUAGAAGUCUAAGAUCUUAUUGUUUUUAUGUUGUUUCCUUUGUUCACAGGUUUAAUUUGGGUAACUGCACAAGGGGUAGAAUACCAUGUUGAGGAGGAUUUUUUAUUUUUUUUCACUAGAUGGAGAAGGUGUGUCAGCAACUGGAGAAACAGUUGCGCCAUUGAUCGACUAUUUAUUUCAAGCAAAUAGAUCCUGGUUAACUGUCAUCUUAUCUUGUUGUUAUAACCAAAUCCUGAUCACAUUCCCUCUGUGAAGACGUUGAUGUUAUCCAAUUCUUGAUUUGAUUUUCUGAGUUAACUUUCAAAUGAGAAAGGGCGGUAGCUGAAACAGGCGGUUGCGGGGUUAAGUACAUCCAAAUGAGGAUGCUUAUCUUCCUUCAUGAUCAUCCAAAUGAUCAUGCUUAUCCUUUUUAUGAACAGACUUAUAAAUUGGAGAUGUUUCGGAUGGUUGGGUGAUGAGAAAUUGAUCGAGGCAUUUGGUUAAGAAGGAGAUUGAUUACCAUAUCUCCUCUCAAAGAUGUUGGUCUCACGGUGCGAUUAGGAUUGUUUGUGGUAGGCUGAAUCUCUCCUUCCGUGAGAGAGACAACGCGAUGGAGCCCGCAUCGAUCCUUACCUUGUCUUCCGCUGCAAAGCUAAGGUAUGUGUUCUGAAUCUUGACAUCUGUAGAAAACCCAUGGUUGGUUCCAGAUCGAGGUUCAUAGAGGCUCCAAUGGCGCACGGGUCUUCGACAAUGGCCGGAUUCCGCCAUUCUUUCAGUACGACGCCUAUUGGCUUCGGCGUACAGGGCCAUUUACCAUAAAGAGAGGAAGAAAGAGGAGGGUGAAGGGUCAAGCGCUAUCUAUCACAGGAGGCCACCGGAAUCUGUCGCCGGUGGAUCGGUCCUCUCUUGCAGGCAGCAAGAAUGGCGGAGUAGCAGUGCAAACUCGGAGAUUGGUGGCCAAGAGCUACGUAUUGGCUUGGAAGAGUGGAUUUUGCAUUGGCUUCUGGAGGUGGAUGCUUAUUAGUCAUUGAAACCCAUAUUAUGCAGUCAAGCUGAAGAAUUGGUUUGCGUCUAAAGGUAACAGUAGAAUCCAUCCAAGGGAAGAAGAGAUGUUUGAACCUAAUUUGGCAGCAGUAGAUUUGUUGAGAUCAAGUUGACAAUUUCCAUAAUACCUGAAGCAAUCAGUCUGGGACAUGUAGCAAAGAUUGUUGGUGCAAUGAUGCCUUGCUUCAAUAUCAUAUUGGGCACUUUGAUCUGAUGAUGGCAAGGAGUCAUGGGAAGCUUCAGGGAUUUGAUAUACUCAUUCUGCUGUAAAUAAAGACUUUGGUCAUGGACCACUAUUGCAGAACUGUGCAGGGCUCCCAUUGUUUAAGAUUAUUUAGCCACUAUAGAUCUUGUAACAAGUUGACUCUUUCAUAUCUGCUAGAACAAUUUUAUUUAUCAAGUUGUAUGUAUCAUAGCAACAAAUAUCAUUCUUGGGUUUUUAUUGGGAAC